GAAAGUUGGCUGAGCGGUCGAUAGCGGCGGUCUUGAAAACCGUUGAUGUGAGAGCAUCCGGGGGUUCGAAUCCCUCACUUUCC
RNAcentral lists this transfer RNA (83 nucleotides) under human gut metagenome. It matches the Rfam family "tRNA". Rfam says of the family: Transfer RNA (tRNA) molecules are approximately 80 nucleotides in length. Their secondary structure includes four short double-helical elements and three loops (D, anti-codon, and T loops). The record is from RNAcentral. RNAcentral also lists the same sequence under 1 other name.